AAAAAGGCCCUUUUCAGGGCCACCAAAACGUUUAUUUAUAAUGUAU
RNAcentral lists this non-coding RNA (46 nucleotides) under Cinara cedri. It matches the Rfam family "Histone 3' UTR stem-loop". From Rfam's summary of the family: The mRNAs of metazoan histone genes lack a poly-A tail. 3' end processing occurs at a site between a highly conserved stem-loop (modelled by this family) and a purine rich region around 20 nts downstream (the histone downstream element, or HDE). Lineage: Eukaryota; Metazoa; Arthropoda; Insecta; Hemiptera; Aphididae. The record is from RNAcentral.